ACAUAACUCAGAACGGUUGGUGAUGCUUUUUGUCCUUUUGUGCGCACGGUAGAAACCGGAAGUACAAGAAAAAGCUACAGCACAACAAGACAAUUAAUUGAAGCGAAAUAAUAAAAACAAUAACUGUGACUGAAAAUGGAUAGUCAAAACCCAAAGUCAACUAGUAACGAUUCACGCUGCGUAUUUUUUAAUACAGAUUCAGAAGACUAUCGAUGCGUGGUGAUUUUAACAGUAAAACGAGCCACGGGAACCUUCUCCUUAGUAGGAUGCAUUUUCAUGCUGUUUGUGAUCUGGCUGCUUCGCAGGUAUCACUCUUUGGCUCAGAAGAUGAUUCUCAGCCUGACUGUAGCUGCCUUCUUCGAUAGCGUAGCAUAUGUCAUGGGUGAUUCACAUCCAGAGGCAUCGCUUUGUGACUUCCAGGCCUGCUGGCUAACUUACUUUGACUGGAGUGCCUUGGCCUGGGUUUGCCUCAUCACAGUGAACCUGUACCUCAACCUGGUCAGAGAAAUCAGCACCAACAGAUAUGAGAUGUUGUACCAUCUGUUGGCGUGGGGGGUGCCUCUGGUCAUGGCCUCUUUGCCACUGCUAAAGGGUUACUACGGCCCCGCAGGAGCCUGGUGCUGGAUCACAGACGAUCACGUAGCCUGGAGAUUUGGGAUAUGGUACGUGCCUCUGUUCAGCCUCAUCUUCCUGAUGAUCUGCUGCUACGCCAGGAUAAUCUGCGUGGCCAAUGCGAGGUCCGGCUGGCCGCGCGUGCAUGCGAUUCCUUGUGUGUGCGCGCCCCACUGGCUAGCUAAUGGCUGCCACUCUGCACUCUCCUCCGCGGUGGUGUUGCGGAGGCGUAGCGCCGACCCUCCGGUUCCCCCUCAGGACCGCUAGCUGCUAGCCGGUGGCUCAGCAAUCUCCAUGUUGUGUGGAGACAAUCCCAGCAGAGACUCUGAAUCAUAGAUAUGCUCCACCAUUCACGUGUUCCAGCUACUCAGAUAAGUCCAUUUGU
RNAcentral lists this long non-coding RNA (997 nucleotides) under Cottoperca gobio. Its description in RNAcentral is "lncRNA (ENSCGOG00000018991.1)". Lineage: Eukaryota; Metazoa; Chordata; Actinopteri; Perciformes; Bovichtidae. The record is from RNAcentral.